This 261-nucleotide ribosomal RNA is filed under the name uncultured bacterium. RNAcentral's name for it is "partial 16S ribosomal RNA". It matches the Rfam family "Bacterial small subunit ribosomal RNA", at positions 524 to 784 of the family's 1533-position model. The record is from RNAcentral.
UACGAAGGUGGCAAGCGUUGUUCGGAUUCACUGGGCGUACAGGGAGCGUAGGCGGUUGGGUAAGCCCUCCGUGAAAUCUCCGGGCCUAACCCGGAAAGUGCAGAGGGGACUGCUCAGCUAGAGGAUGGGAGAGGAGCGCGGAAUUCCCGGUGUAGCGGUGAAAUGCGUAGAUAUCUGGGGGAACAUCAGUGGCGAAGGCGGCUUCCUGGACCAACACUGACGCUGAGGCGCGAAAGCGUGGGGAGCAAACAGGAUUAGAUA